This 2019-nucleotide long non-coding RNA is filed under the name Homo sapiens (human). Its description in RNAcentral is "PREDICTED lncRNA (TCONS_00208541)". Lineage: Eukaryota; Metazoa; Chordata; Mammalia; Primates; Hominidae. The record is from RNAcentral.
UGGCAACCCGCUCCGGUGUCCUUCCAUGCUGUGGAGGCUCUGUUGUUUCGCUCUUUCUACUGCUUACUCUUCGGGUCCACACUGCUUUUAUGAGCUGUAACACUCACCCUGAAGGUUUGCAACUUGACUCCUGAAGCCAGCAAGACCACGAGCCCCAGGGAGGAACGAACAACUCCAGACGCGCUGCCUUAAGAGCUGUAACACUCACCGAGAAGGUCUGCAGCUUCACUCCUGAGCCAGCGAGGCCACGAACCCACCAGAAGGAAGAAACUCUGAACACAUCCGAACAUCAGAAGGAACAAACUCCAGACGUGCCACCUUAAGAGCUGUUAACACUCACCGCGAGGGUCCGCGGCUUCAUUUUUGAAGUCAGUGAGACCAAGAACCAACCAAUUCGGGACACAAUACCAACUCUUUCAUGCCAGGAGAAGCCUCCUUAAAAAAUUUCGGUGAUUAACAGCAGCACAUGGGUCAAAAUCUCCUGAAAGUUGAGCAGGGGAGCUGUAGAAGAAUUCCUCCUUUUCUCGCAGAUGAAAUCUUAUGAUAUAGCAGGGGUUACCUGGCCAAGAAGGAACACAGAGGAGAACAAAGAAAAUUCAAGGAACUAAAUUCCUUCUCCACCUCAACCACCAGCAUUGAUACUCCAUCACUUAUGUACUGCAUCAAGCCGUCCUCAGAGGUGAGGAAGGUGCUGUCAAGACUAGAAGCAUGUGUCCCUCUCUCCAUUGCAAGAUGGGACAUAGAGAGGAGAAAAGUGGCAGACAGAAGUCUUAGGUAUGUCUUUAUCAGCAGCAUGAAAAUGGACUAAUACAGGGACCAAUGAUUGCAUCUACCUCAUGGACUUUUUAUGAGAAUUGACUGAUUUAAUAAAUGUAAAAGACUUAGAACACUGCCUCAUCUAUUGUAAACAGUCAAUAAAUAUUAGUAUCAAUUUUCAUUGAAUCCUAAUCAGUAUAACUAUAAUGUUACAUUCAUGAAUAAGACAAAGGCUGGGACAAAAUAAAUGAGACACUUCACUCAGACCUCUUCAUUGUUUUCCCAGUUGUCAUCCUUUGCACCUAGUUCUGUAAUUAAGAGAGUCUUCUCAGCUUUUUCUUAAAUCAUGUAUUUUCCUCUAGUAUGGCAACUUUAUAAUAUGUUUCCCCCACUUGAAAAUGUUUCCUCCUUUUUCCCACAGUCCAAUCCCCCCAUUAACCCAACCAUCUCUCACAUACAUACCAAUUUUAGGUCCCAAAUCUCUCAGAUCUCACCCUAUUCACAAACCAAAACUUUAUCAGAAAGAUCUAAAACACUUCCCCCAAAGGCAUUUUUAAUCACCAAUAAGGUGUUCUCACUUUCAAGGAUAGUAUAAUGUGAAUGGACAUCAAAGUCUUAAGAUCAAGAAUAUACUCUACUAUUAAAGAGUUCUAACCAUAAGCUAGUGGUUAAUACAGUUUUAGAGGGAAGAGGAUAAGGAAAGCAGACAUUGUCUUUCCUCUUUCCUAAACUUUUCCCAGGUCUAGAUCUACCUCCUAUCAAUUUUGCUACUUUGGUAAACAAACUCUUGGCAUAAAUUCUACCAAAGCACACUUUGGUCUUUAACUUUCAUAGUAGAAGGGAUAGAACAAGUAUCUCUCACCUAACAGAAAUCCACUUAAUGGAAUUUAAAAUCAAAGAAUGUGAUUGAUCCACCAAUUAUUUAAAUACCAACUUGAGUAUACUGAAUGUAAACUUCCAGUGCUGCCAUGUGGACUCUGCCAUCUUGUCCCUACUGCAUGCAGGUCCCUUAUCUAUCAAUGGCUUAGAAAUGACCAAACUCUUAACAAUCAGAACUUUGCAAAUCUUAAAUAAAAACUGUUUUACAAACACCCCAAGACACAUUACAAAUCAAGAAAACUGAAAAUCAUUUUAUAGAAUGCAUAACCCUCAUGGUCCCAGCAGAAAACAGGUGGCAUGCUAAAAUUGGGCAAUUUAAGGAGGAUUUAAUUAAAGAACUAUUUGUAAAGAUGUGGGCAAGAUAUAUGGGAAACAUGAAGGAUG